This is an unclassified non-coding RNA of Pongo abelii (Sumatran orangutan), 148 nucleotides long. It matches the Rfam family "Metazoan signal recognition particle RNA". From Rfam's summary of the family: The signal recognition particle (SRP) is a universally conserved ribonucleoprotein. It is involved in the co-translational targeting of proteins to membranes. NCBI's taxonomy places the organism in Eukaryota, Metazoa, Chordata, Mammalia, Primates, Hominidae. The record is from Ensembl.
GCCAGGCAUGGUGGUGCAUGCCUGUAAUCCCAGUUACUCGGGAGGCUGAGGCAGGAGAAUCACUUGAACCUGGGAGGUGGAGGUUGUAGUGAGCUGAGAUUGCAGCACUGUACUCCAGCCUGAGUGACAGAGUGAGACCCUGUCUCAA